UUUUGCCCUUUAUAUUAUAUAGAUAUAUUAAAAUUGUGCAGCGAAGUUGUUGUAUAAAAAGGUAAAAGUACUGGUAUACACUUUUAAGUUUGUAAUAGAAAUUAAUUGAAAUGCCAUAGAAACAAAAAAACCAACUCUUUAUAGUAAAUAUUAAAAGCGCAACAUUAAGACGUACAAUUACACUUAAAUGUAACAUAAUUAUUAAACACAUGCAAAAGGGACUGAAUUGUUACUAUGCAUUCCAUAUCUCACAAAAAUUGUAAACACACUUUAUAAGUGUAGGAUAAGUCGACUUUGGACAAUCAUGAUCAGAAGUACAAGGAACGCGAGCUGCAUUGUCAAACAAGAAAAAAUAAAUAUUAUUAAAAGAUGAUGUAAUAUUGUAUAUAAGAGAAAUUUGAAAAUGGUGUGAAAUGUGACAUACUUCUACUAGUUACAAUAAAAAGUAAAGAAGAAAACAAGAUCAAAGCAUAAUAAAACAUGAUCAUUUGAGUCAUGGUGUUUCUCUUUUGUAUGCAAGAAAUAGAAUUAUAUUGAUCCUUUAUAAAUAAAACUUUCAUGCUUUGUUAUCUUCAAUUAAAUAGUUUUUAGCAUUUACAAAUUGCAAAAAGUCAUUUAUA
This 620-nucleotide long non-coding RNA is filed under the name Lathyrus oleraceus (garden pea). Its description in RNAcentral is "Pisum sativum (pea) long non-coding RNA (PSAT_LNC035750)". The record is from RNAcentral. Lineage: Eukaryota; Viridiplantae; Streptophyta; Magnoliopsida; Fabales; Fabaceae.